Molecule: unclassified non-coding RNA, 373 nt
Filed under: Bursera cuneata
Lineage: Eukaryota; Viridiplantae; Streptophyta; Magnoliopsida; Sapindales; Burseraceae
Description: partial external transcribed spacer
Source: RNAcentral
GAGACAAGCAUAUGACUACUGGCAGGAUCAACCAGGUAGCAUUCCUUCGCGACGCCGACGCCCGCAUGAGACCCGGCAGGCCGUACAGCCACGGGCUCAAGACGGGCACGGCAGUCGUUCGUGUCGUAAGACAAAUGCGUUGCUUGGGCAAACGGAGCUAAUAAAUAGACCCCGCACCCGCACAUAACAUUCCGCAUCCGAGAGCACGGGCAAUGCACCUCAUGGGCCGAGGCAGCGACGCAGCUGGGCGAAGCAUGCCGGGAACACGAGGCUUGCCUGAUGUCCACCCCAAAACCCGUGAGGGCAGGGGGCGGAAAGGGACUAACGAAACCAUCGGAUUCCUUUCGAUAGGUAAGCAACACAGGAUACCGAA